RNAcentral lists this small RNA (125 nucleotides) under Marmota monax (woodchuck). Lineage: Eukaryota; Metazoa; Chordata; Mammalia; Rodentia; Sciuridae. The record is from RNAcentral.
GCUGGACGUGGUGGCCCACGCCUGUAAUCCCAGUUGCUCGGGAGGCUGAGACAGGAGGAUCAGCAGCUCAAAGCCAGCCUCAUCAAUGAUGAGGCCCUGAGCAACUCAGUGAGACCCUGUCUCUA